Molecule: transfer RNA, 65 nt
Filed under: Gampsocleis sedakovii
Lineage: Eukaryota; Metazoa; Arthropoda; Insecta; Orthoptera; Tettigoniidae
Also listed under: 1 other name
Description: tRNA-Arg
Source: RNAcentral
GAAUAAGAAGCGAAUUUUGCAGUCAGUUUCGACCUGAAAAACUUGGUAAUAGAUACCCUUAUUCU